Non-coding RNA from Pan troglodytes (chimpanzee), 148 nucleotides. It matches the Rfam family "Metazoan signal recognition particle RNA". From Rfam's summary of the family: The signal recognition particle (SRP) is a universally conserved ribonucleoprotein. It is involved in the co-translational targeting of proteins to membranes. The eukaryotic SRP consists of a 300-nucleotide 7S RNA and six proteins: SRPs 72, 68, 54, 19, 14, and 9. The record is from Rfam. NCBI's taxonomy places the organism in Eukaryota, Metazoa, Chordata, Mammalia, Primates, Hominidae.
GUUGGGCAUGGUGGCGCAUGCCUGUAAUCCCAGCUACUCGGUAGACUGAGGCAGGAGAAUCGCUUGAACCUGGGAGACGGAGGUUGCAGUGAGCCGAGAUCAUGCCACUGCACUCCAGCCUAGGCGACAGAGCGAGACCCUGUCUCAA